UAGGGAAUAUUGGACAAUGGGCGAAAGCCUGAUCCAGCCAUGCCGCGUGUGUGAAGAAGGUCUUCGGAUUGUAAAGCACUUUAAGUUGGGAGGGAGGGCAGUAAAUUAAUACUUUGCUGUUUUGACGUUACCGACAGAAUAAGCACCGGCUAACUCUGUGCCAGCAGCCGCGGUAAUACAGAGGGUGCAAGCGUUAAUCGGAAUUACUGGGCGUAAAGCGCGCGUAGGUGGUUCGUUAAGUUGGAUGUGAAAUCCCCGGGCUCAACCUGGGAACUGCAUUCAAAACUGACGAGCUAGAGUAUGGUAGAGGGUGGUGGAAUUUCCUGUGUAGCGGUGAAAUGCGUAGAUAUAGGAAGGAACACCAGUGGCGAAGGCGACCACCUGGACUGAUACUGACACUGAGGUACGAAAGCGUGGGGAGCAAACAGGAUUAGAUACCCUGGUAGUCCACGCCGU
Molecule: ribosomal RNA, 456 nt
Filed under: uncultured bacterium
Lineage: Bacteria
Description: partial 16S ribosomal RNA
Rfam family: Bacterial small subunit ribosomal RNA
Source: RNAcentral